RNAcentral lists this ribosomal RNA (312 nucleotides) under Triticum aestivum (bread wheat). RNAcentral's name for it is "partial small subunit ribosomal RNA". Lineage: Eukaryota; Viridiplantae; Streptophyta; Magnoliopsida; Poales; Poaceae. The record is from RNAcentral.
AUGGGACUCCACUCCGGCGCUCGACACCCUACAGGCCACCGUGUUCCCAGGCCGCGGGUCUGCAUCGGCGUGUCCGUCCACCACGCCGCCUGCCACGACACCUCUGCCACUCUCUUCGUCCAGACCUGGGCCGCCGCAUACCACCUCCAAGAUGCCCUCGACAGUGCCGAUCCUUCCCAGGCCGUGCUGCUGCCGCCGCCGCCCGUCCUCGACCGAUCCCUCGUUGCCGACCCCAACGACCUGCUCGGCAAGACACUCGUUGGGAUGAGCCGCCUUGCGUCUGCCUGCUGUGGAGCCGGUCGUGGGUGUUGA